UGGAGCUUGCUCCAUGAUCUUAGCGGCGGACGGGUGAGUAACACGUGGGCAACCUGCCCUGCAGAUCGGGAUAACUCCGGGAAACCGGUGCUAAUACCGAAUAGUUUGCGGCCUCUCAUGAGGCUGCACGGAAAGACGGUUUCGGCUGUCACUGCAGGAUGGGCCCGCGGCGCAUUAGCUAGUUGGUGAGGUAACGGCUCACCAAGGCCACGAUGCGUAGCCGACCUGAGAGGGUGAUCGGCCACACUGGGACUGAGACACGGCCCAGACUCCUACGGGAGGCAGCAGUAGGGAAUCUUCCGCAAUGGACGAAAGUCUGACGGAGCAACGCCGCGUGAGUGAAGAAGGUUUUCGGAUCGUAAAACUCUGUUGUGAGGGAAGAACAAGUACCAAGUAACUACUGGUACCUUGACGGUACCUCACCAGAAAGCCACGGCUAACUACGUGCCAGCAGCCGCGGUAAUACGUAGGUGGCAAGCGUUGUCCGGAAUUAUUGGGCGUAAAGCGCGCGCAGGCGGUCCUUUAAGUCUGAUGUGAAAGCCCACGGCUCAACCGUGGAGGGUCAUUGGAAACUGGGGGACUUGAGUGCAGAAGAGGAAAGUGGAAUUCCACGUGUAGCGGUGAAAUGCGUAGAGAUGUGGAGGAACACCAGUGGCGAAGGCGACUUUCUGGUCUGUAACUGACGCUGAGGCGCG
Molecule: ribosomal RNA, 695 nt
Filed under: Planococcus sp. MJB9
Lineage: Bacteria; Bacillati; Bacillota; Bacilli; Caryophanales; Caryophanaceae
Description: bacterial SSU rRNA
Rfam family: Bacterial small subunit ribosomal RNA
Source: RNAcentral